Non-coding RNA from Mycena filopes, 89 nucleotides. The record is from the annotation of a GenBank genome assembly. Lineage: Eukaryota; Fungi; Basidiomycota; Agaricomycetes; Agaricales; Mycenaceae.
UCGGACGUGGUGCAGCGCAGCACGGCCUCUCCUCUUGGACGACUCUUCAGAGUAAGAGGCAGACUCGGGUUCGACUCCCGGCGUCCGAA